Molecule: long non-coding RNA, 41055 nt
Filed under: Citrus maxima (pomelo)
Lineage: Eukaryota; Viridiplantae; Streptophyta; Magnoliopsida; Sapindales; Rutaceae
Description: long non-coding RNA (CMAX_LNC002287)
Rfam family: Plant small nucleolar RNA R71 (bases 33467-33573)
Source: RNAcentral
CUUUAUUGAACGAUGGGGUCUCAAAUGGGCUGCCUCUUUGCCACUCUUUUGGUAGUAUCAGUCUCUCUUAGCUACUUGCCGUUAGAAGCCUCCGCAAACAAAUACUACUACACAUCUCCUCCCCCUCCCAAAUACAAGUCUCCACCACCACCCCCGCCACCGGUUCACAAUUCUCCACCACCACCCCCGGUUUACCUGCCCCCGCCACCUCCUCCACCAGUCUACGUGCCUGCUCCGGCACCAACUCCAAUUUUCCCUUCUCCGCCACCUCCUGUCCCCAAGUCCCCACCACCACCUCACCCUUACAUCUAUGCAUCUCCCCCUCCUCCUUACUACUACUAGAAAGUGGCCAUGAAUAGCUCAUGCUUUUAUGGUAAUCUCAUUUAUUUUUAAAACUGUACAUGUAAAGACUAGUAGUUCAGAAUUACAUUAAGCAUUUCAAUUUUAAGCACCGUGUUCUGUUUAAUUGCGUUCCUAUUGAUUAAGUGACAAAUAAAAGAGAUUGAUUAAUUUGUUCUUGUAGGAGAGGCGAAUGGUUUCCGAAUAAAGAAAGCAAGGGUUUGAUGGAAGGCUUACUUGGAGCAAGAGAGCGAUCAAUCGAGUUGCUGCGUUUUAUUCUCUUUUAUCUUUGUUUUUUAAGAAAAAUAAACUGCCACACGUAGAAACAGAAAAUUAAGUUCUUGUCAUUUUCAUGCAUAUGGAUUGUUGCUGUGUGUGUCAAUCAAAUCUCCGUUGUGUCAUUUGUAAUUUUCAACCUUUAUGCAUGCAAAUGCGAGACCUCUUACGUAUAAUAAAAUUAAUAUACUUCCAAAGAUGGUCUUAUCUUGCGUUGACUUUUUACGUUCCUUUGGUGAUGAUUUUGACGUUUGAAAUUGAUGACUAUUGUUUUUGUAAACUCUGACAUGGAUUUUUCGUGCAACUACAGAGCGCAUUAACGAGAGACUUAUCCAUGAGGGUCCAUGCAGAUCAGUGUCUAAUUAACCAAUAAUUAAUAUAACUUAAAAAAUAUAGAGUUAAUAAUUUUUAUGGGUCAUGCUCAAUUGCAGAUGUUCGUACAAAAUUUCUUGCUAAUGUAUACUUGAGUAUGAUAAUAAGUUUUAAUCAUUAUUAAUAAUUCACUUGAUAAUAUUAAACAAAUUUUCAUAUCAAUUAAGUUACAAAAUUUCUGUGACAAAUUUCCACGUACUGGAACCAUGCAAAAGGGCUUUAUUCAAGCAAAGCUGCAUAGCCGUUGGCAAUUAAAAUUAUUUAUCAAUUAAGUUAAGUAGUAAGAAUUGGAUUGUGGAUUCCAUUAAUUAUUUCAAGGAAAAUUUUAUAGAUAAUGCCGUAAUGAAAUUUACGGCAUCAAUAUCACGAUAAAUAUAAAUAUUGUAAAUUACAAAUAGAAUUAGUAAAUGUAAAGUAAAACCAGUAAAUUCAUAAAAGAUUAUUAAUUAUUUAAAAAAUUAACAUUGUGUUAUGUUUGCAAGUUUUUGUUUUGUUUACUAGUUUUAUGUUAUGUUUGCAAGUUUUUGUUUUGUUUACUAGUAAUAGAUUAAUGGGUAAUUUUUAAUUGAGUCCUCAUUAGUUCUAGAAAAACAAUUCAGAGACCAGAAGUUUACUAAAUGAAUCAAUUAAAUUCUUUCAAGUACAAACUAAUGUCAUUCAAGUCCUUAACUUAAUUGGUCAGUUAAAAAUAUUAACAACGUCGAGGACAUUUUAGUAAAACAACAAUUGAGUCGUUUCUCAUUCUUUAUUUUUGACAGGUGGAAAUAGUUUAAAGUAAACUCACUUAACCUGAUUAAGUUAAGGAUCAGUUCUUUCAAAUGAAAAAAAAAAAAAAAAAAAACCUACAGAAACUGCCAUAUUCUUCGUGUGGGAGGAGAGAUCGAGAGAACGUGGGAUGGUGCAAAAAAUGUUGUAUAAAUCUACUGUGAUUUUGACCAAAGCUUUGGUAGCAUUGAUUGAGUUCAAGUACUGGAGAGAACCUGAGUUUAAAGGUUAGUAACUCUAUUUUUUUAGUGAUUUCUGCAAGCAUUUUCUGAUAAAAAAUUUUCCGUAUUGAGUGAUCGUUGUGAAAAAUUAAGUUUUUCAAGUCUAUUUUACAAAAUGACAAACUAUGUUUAAUUAUUGGUGGAUUCUUUUUUUUGUUCAAUGUUGUAUUUUGUUAAUUUGUUGUUUUUAAUUUGCUCUUAAUGUAAUUGUUAGACCAAAUACACCAUUAUUAUACCUGUAUUCAUUUCAACAAUUUGGUAUCGUUAUAUUAAUAAGAUUGAAUUCAUUGUAUUUGCUUCUUUGUUCAUGUAAAAUUGAAUUCUAUGUAUUCUUAUGAGUGAUAAUUUUUCUAUCUAUUAGACUAAAUUCACUAUAUUCACGACUUUCUUUCUUUUUGCUGGGCUAUUUUUUCUUUUUAGUUUAUAUUUUUUAUAUGUAUUAGAUUGAAUUUGCUUUUGUACGUUUUUUUAGCCGAAUUACAUGUAUAUUUUAUUUAGGUUGAGUUUUUUUGUUGUUUGCUAAAUAAAAUUCUAUUGGUUUAUCAUUUUUUGAUGCAAUACUUUUUGUUUAAAAUUAAUGCAGGUAGCCAUGUUACCUUUUUUUCGGUUAAAAUUAAUUGGGUGAUGUAUGCGAUAUAGGGAACCAGAGGAAUAUAAGAUUAUUAGGUUGUUUCUUGAAAUUCAAGAUGUCAUGGUUGAGCAUGGACACAGUGAAAUGGAUUUGAUUGAAAUUUCUGUUGUAUUGCCAUGGACUACAAGUAGGCAGAGGAAGCUAAUUUCAAACGAUAGUGAAUUGUAUUGGGUUUUCGAGGAGUUUUUUUUUUUUUUUUAUCAAUAGUUGUCCUGUCAUUGAGUUUGAGGUGCACAUUGGGUCAGGUGGUCAGUCAUUUCAUGAAAGUGUUGUAAUAGGACCUGAAAAUCCUGUCAAUAUAGGUGUUAGUGUUAUAAUAGUGAUAAGUUUGAAAAUCCUGUGGCUAAAAAGGGUAUGCCUAGAAUAAUUGGUACUUCUUUAUUUGCCUCAAAGUUCAACACUAUGAAAUCCACCAAGAAAAAGAAUUUAUCCACUUUAACCAGCAAUCUUCAAUCUUGCCUUCAGGAUAAGCAUGAGAUCUGUCAGCACAUUGCAAUGACACUGUGGUUGGUCUGACUUCUCCAACUUCCAAUUGCUUGAAUUCUGAUAAUGUCAUAAGAUUGAUGGCUUGCUCUCAAAUCACAAAGUGUCUUGCCACUGUAUUUAGUUCCUAUGGAACAAGGAAUUGUGAAACUUCCUGGAUCCUUCAACUUCUGAGGCAUUUUACUCUGAAGCAUAUGGCUGCAUUCUUGUGUUAGAGCAACUAUUUCGAAUUCUCCAAGCCUCCACUACUAGAAAAACAGGCUACUAUGACAGAAUUUUUGUGAUAGAUAUCAGAAAAUUAGUCAUUUAUCACAAAAAUAUAACAUACAUGUGAUAGAAUUUUCAUAUAUCAACAAGGCAUGAUAGAUUUGUGAUAGUUUCUUUAUCUGUCACUUGUACAUGAUAGCAUAUUAAUAUAGUAAUGAAACGGUGAGUUUAAGAUUGGCCAAUUUGGGCAUUGAACGACACCGUGUCUUGAAGCCUUUAAAAAAAAUUCUAAGUGUUGGACACUCCUUUGAACUUCACAUAGAAAACCCUAAUUUCUACAUCCAAACUGAAUCACACAAAAAUACACCAUCACACUUGCCGCCAAUAAAUUGUUGUUGUUCGUCUUUGUCGUCAUCUUCAUCCCCACUCCACAGCUUGCUGGCUAUUCCCAUUUCCCUUUUAUAGCUUGAACAACUGAUCUUCUUCAAGUUCGAGCCACUGUUACUGACUUCUUUCGGGAGAGGUAAGUGAUUAAUUCUUUUUUUUUUUUGAAGAGACAACAAUCACCAUAAAUUUCUCAAAAUCCCUAAAAUUAUGCCAAAAAAAGGAAAAAAUAAAGCCGUUCCAUGGCCUUAAAGGACUGACUUCGAGUUCGUGGACUAACGUGCCAACGACUCCGCUUUAUGGCCUUCGUGGAACGAUUCCGUGACACGCGAGUGGCAGCGUGCUAUUUACGUGGAGUCGGAUCGGAGAAGAUUGUACUACGAGGAGUUGGCGAUGUGAGAAAGACAGCGAGUUAGCUACUACGUCUUCGACUUAGGGUAAAAUUUUGGCAGAAUUUGAACUGAAAUUUAGUGGGUUUUGAGUGGUAAGACGAGGUUUUGAGAGAGGAAAAGGAGUGUUUGGCUGGCGAGAAAGUGAGAGAAAGUUUUUGAGUGUGGAGUGAUGGCUUCUCUGUUUUUACUUCUUUAUUGUUCUUUAUUGAGUAGAUGGUGACGAUACAAACUUUUAACAUUGUUUACUUAAUUAAUUGGAUAACAAUCUUACAUGACUAUUUUGAUUUAUCAGAUAAAUCAGUUAGAGAAGAAUGGAGAUGUUGUUGCUCAGGCACGAGCAAUUACAGCAAUCUAGACACUCUGCCCCGUCUUUCUUUCAAUGUUGUUGGCACACUGAAUAAUUUCCUUAGUGACAAGUUAACCAAAUUUAGAGGUAUAUGUGAUUUUGAUUUGACUUACUCUUAAUGAAAUACAAUAAGGAUUUUUUCUGUUGUUUCUAGGCCUUUUGGAGAGUUCGGAUUGAAGCAACGUUUGCCUUAGCUAAUACAACAUCUAAGGUAUUGUUAUUAUUCUCACCUUUAUUUAUUAAAUAUAUUGAGCACAUGGUAGGUCCACCAAAAUGUAUGCAAAAUCUAUUCACCAGAGGUAUUCGCAUAAAGUGAAUUUUUGUGAGAGACUAUUCUUCAACUGUGAAAACUACUUUGGUAGUUCUCAAACCCAUUACAAUUGAUUGGUGCUUGUGUUUUUCUAUUAGAAAGAUAUCUUCUGUAAAAUCUUUGUGAACUACAUUUUUGGAAAUGCAAAUGCUUUGUGUGGUGGUGAUUGUGCUUAUUUGCUUGGUCUUCUAGCAUUUCAGUGAAAUGAUUUAUUUUGACUUGUGCUUAUGACUAACUUGUUGACAGAGAAACUAGGCCAUUUAUGGAUGCACUGAUAUGAAUCCUAUAAUUUUUCUCUUAAUUGACAUGUUGAACUUUUUGGAAGAUAUUUUUUUUUUAUUUGAUUUGUCACAUAUUGUGCUUUAUUAGUUGGAAAUGUUUUGGUUUGUGGACCAUGUUGCACUUACCAGUUCUCAAUAUUGAUAUAUGAUAUAUACACACUAUUGUACUGGAAAUUGAUUGAGUUGGUUUGCUCCAUCUGGUGAAAUUUUAUAAAAGUCGAAGGUUUGAUGAGAAUAUUGGACUCCCCAAGUGAGAAUCUAUCUAAGUUUGAAAUUGUUCUGAUAUCGUUGCUGCAGCACUUUGUUAACGUUUUUGUUUUCUGCUGAUCAUUCCAGGCCAAAUGAUAUCCGUGAUUUUUCAGAGUAUUUGUUCUUGAGGUAAUGCCUUGAGGUAAGGUAUGUAAUGAGUUGUGUGAAGUGGGAUGUGAUAAUAAUUUUGCCCUCGCUUCAUGUGAUGAAAUCCCACAUAAUUUGCCCUUGCUUUAUGUGAUGAAAUCUUUGGGUGGUUUGUUUAUUUAGUGUUUUUCUAUUUCUUUUUAUAUGCUAAUUUUCAUAGUUCUAGAGCAAGUCUUUCUCUAGUCAUUUUGAAAUACUUCCACAUGCUGCUUCUUAAGCCAAGAUUGUCUUGCCCUAAUGAACAAGUUAAAUGGAUUUGCGUUGCUUGGAGUCUCAGUGUAAUAUAUGUGUUUUAGAACUUAGAUUGAUAAACAAAUUUGAACAAAUACAGUGGAAUAAGAAUAAAGAGAAGAUUAAAAAAAAAAGAGUAGAAAUAAAGAAAAGGAUGGUGAAACUUUAGGAGAAUAGGGGAAUCAAGAGAAGAGGAUAGAAUUUUGAUGGAUUUUAUUUAAUUAUGUAACGGAGGUUUUGUGUUGUUAGAUGUUGUGCGUUAAUUAAUUUGUAAUCUUGGAAAAAUACUUUAUCAUGAAUUGGGUUAAUUGUAAGUGGUCAAUACACUAAUAUAUAUUCUUCUAGCACUCAUCUAAAUGUAAUAUGUGUUUCAGGUGAUGUUGGUGGCUCUUGGGAAUUUACUAUCAGUGUUCUUUUUACGAAUUAAUUGUUUUUCUAAUGAUGGGGUAGUGAUUGAAUAUUGUAGAGAAUUUAUGAGUUAUUCUUACGGAUUUGAUUCACCAUGUAUUUUGAUGAUACUAUUUGUUGGAAGUUUCAAGUAAUUGAAAUUUUUAGUAUAUGGUGAUAUUUGGUAUUUGAUAGUUUUUAUGAAUUUGAAUGUAAUUUUUAUUUCAGUUAAUUCAAAUUUUAAAAUGUGGGUUUUGUUAUUUCUAUUUCAAAAUUCUGGAAUUUAAAUAAUAUUAAUUAGUAUUAUUAUAAUUUCAAAAUUAAAAAUAAUAAUUUUAUUUUUUUAAACCUUAAAUCUCAUGACAGAGAAUGUGAAUCAUUAAUAUAUGAAAGAUUUUGAAAAAGCCCACCAAAUUCAAUAUAAUUUAAAUUACCUGCUAAAAUUUCCAAUUAAUUCUCAAAAGCCUUGCAAAACGACGUCGCUUGGUUCGUGACAUAUGCGUGAUAGAUAUACACUGUCACAGAAACAUGUGAUAGAUAAAAUGUUGUCAUAGAUUUAUGAAAGGGGCUACAAUGACAGAUGGAAACUCUGUCAUAAGAGGGGUCGGAUGACAGAUAUUCUCUGUCAUGAUAGCCCAUUUUUCUAGUAGUGCUCAUUUUCCUUGCCAAUAUACAUUUCCAAAACUUUACAUAAUUUGGCAUUUGUUCCAAUGCUUCCACAAAAGGAAUGUUGAUAUGCAGUUGUUUCAAUACUUCCACCACCUGUCCCCAAGUUCCCACCACCACCUCACCCUUGCGUCUAUGCAUCUCCCCCUCCUCCUUACUACUACUAGAAAGCGGCCAUGAAUAGCUCAUGCUUUUAUGGUAAUCUCAUUUAUUUUUAAAACUGUACAUGUAAAGACUAGUAGUUCAGAAUUACAUUAAGCAUCAAAUUUAAGCACCGUGUUCUAUUUAAUUGCGUUCCUAUUGAUUAAGUGACAAAUAAAAGAGAUUGAUUAAUUUGUUCUUGUAGGAGAGGCGAAUGGUAUCCGAAUAAAGAAAGCAAGGGUUUGAUGGAAGGCUUACUUGGAGCAAGAUAGCGAUCAAUCGAGUUGCUGCGUUUUAUUCUCUUUUAUCUUUGUUUUUUAAGAAAAAUAAACUGCCACACGUAGAAACAGAAAAGUUCUUGUCAUUUUCAUGCAUAUGGAUUGUUGCUGUGUGUUUCAAUCAAUUCUCUGGCGUGUCAUUUGUAAUUUUCAACCUUCAUGCAUGCAAAUGCGAGACCUCUUUCGUAUAAUAAAAUUAGGGGAUUGUCACUUUCCCCCUACAGUAAUUAACAUAUAUUAUUUAUUCUCUUACUAUUUUUAUAAUGGCCAAAAACCCACUGACAACAUAAGUUUACAAUAUUACCUUUAUUUUUAACUACUCUUUUAUUUACAUUUAUUAUAAAUUAAAUAAAUUACAUGAAUAGAAACUAAAUAAAAAAAUUAAGUAUUAAAAAUAAGAAAUAUAUGUUGAUAUGAGGAAAAAAAUUAAUAAUAAAAUUUUUUUCUUGUAAUUAUUUAUUUUGUGAACAUUUUCUUAUAACAUUUUGUAAUAUUUUAAAAUUAAAUGUAAAAAGUAUAGGCAAAAUAUUUUAUUAUUUAUCUUAUAAUAAAUUGUUAUUUGUCAUUCAAAUUUUCUUAUAAUAAUUUUUUUUAUCAUUUUAUAAUAACUUUCUUAUAUAUUUAUUAUAAGAAAAUUUUCACAAAAUAAAUAAGUACAAGAAAAAAAAUUUAUUAUUAAUUUUUUUCUCAUAUCAAAACAUAUAAUAAUUUUUUUCUCAUAUCAAAACAUAUAUUUCUUGUUUUUAAUUCCUAAUUUUUUAUUUGAUUUCUAUUCAUGUGAUUUAUUUAAUUUGUAAUAAAUAUAAAUAAAAGAGUAAUUGAAAAUAAAGGUAAUGUUGUACACUUAUGCUAUCAGGGGAAGUUUUGGCCAUUAUAAAAAUAGUAUGGGAAAAAUAGUAUAUGUUGAUUACUAUAGGAGGGAAAUUAGCAAUCUCCCAAUAAAAUUAAUAUACUUCCCAAGACCGUCUUAUCUUGCGUUGACUUUUUACGUUCCUUUGGUGAUGAUUUUGACGUUUGAAAUUGAUGACUAUUGUUUUUGUAAACUCUGCAUGGAUUUUUCGUGCAACUACAGAGCGCAUUAACGAGAGACUUAUUCAUGAGGGUCCAUGCAGAUCAGUGUCUAAUUAACGAAUAAUUAAUAUAACUUAAAAAAUAUAUAGUUAACAAUUUUUAUGGGUCAUGCUCAAUUGCAGAUGUUCGUACAAAAUUUCUUGCUAAUGUAUACUUGAGUAUGAUAAUAAGUUUUAAUCAUUAUUAAUAAUUCACUUGAUAAUAUUAAACAAAUUUUCAUAUCAAUUAAGUUACAAAAUUUCUAUGACAAAUUUCCACGUACUGGAACCAUGCAAAAGGGCUUUAUUCAAACAAAGCUGCAUAGCCGUUGGCAAUUAAAAUAAUUUAUCAAUUAAGUUAAGUAGUAAGAAUUUUAUUGUGGAUUCGAUUAAUUAUUUCAAGGAAAAUUCUAUCGAUAAUGCCGUAACGAAAAUUACACAUAAAAUUAGUAAAUGUAAAGUAAAACCAGUAAAUUCAUAAAAAAUUAUUAAUUAUUUAAAAAAUUAAUAUUGUUUUUACAUAAUUUUAGUGCAAAAUAUUUUAUUUAGUUACAAAAAAAAUUUCUUUAAUUAAACAAAAAAAUUAUACAGAAAAAAAGUGGAAUACGUUUUAUUGAAUUGGUUACCAUAAAUUCUGUAAUUAUUCUAGGACAUUUGUAUACAUUUUUUUCUCAUUUUCUAUAAUGACAUCUAUUUAUUACACAUGUUAAUUAAGCGCAAUUAUUUAUCUUGAUGUGGAUCAAGUAAAAAUAAAAGAAAAGAUAUAUCAAUCAAAUUAGAUAUAAUUUUGAAUACUAUGUAUACUUUAUGUAGUUUCAAACUUUUUACUUGUAUUUGGAGACCAUUUAAGAUUGUUGUUGAAGAAGUGUAGAAAGAUGUAAAAUAACGUCAUCUUACAACAAUUAUAAUGAUAUCUAUUUAUUACACAUGUUAAUUAAGCACAAUUAUUUAUCUUGAUGUGGAUCAAGUAAAAAUAAAAGAAAAGAUAUAUCAAUAAAAUUAGAUCUAAUUUUGAAUAGGGAGAUUGCCAAUUUUCCCCCUACAGUAAUCAACAUAUACCAUUUUCCCCCCUACUGUUUUUAUAAUGGCCAAAAACCCCCCUGAUAGCAUAAGUGUAUAUUAUUACUCUUAUUUUCAACUACUCUUUUAUUUAUAUUUGUUAUAAAUUAAAUAAAUCACAUGAAUAGAAACCAAAUAAAAAAUUAAGCAUUAAAAACAAGAAAUAUAUGUUUUGAUAUGAGAAAAAAAUUAAUAAUAAUUUUUUUCUUGUACUUAUUUAUUUUGUGAAAAUUUUCUUAUAAUAAAUAUAUAAGAAAGUUAUUAUAAAACGAUAAAACCAAUUAUUAUAAGAAAAUUUGAAUGACAAAUAAAAAUUUAUUAUAAUAUAAAUAAUAAAAUAUUUUGUCUAUACUUUUUACAUUUAAUUUUAAAAUAUUACAAAAUGUUUAUUAUAAGAAAAUGUUCACAAAAUAAAUAAUUACAAGAAAAAAAUUUUAUUAUUAAUUUUUUUUGCUCAUAUCAAAUCAUAUAGUUCUUAUUUUUAAUACUUAAUUUUUUUAUUUAUUUUCUAUUCAUGUAAUUUAUUUAAUUUAUAAUAAAUAUAAAUAAAAGAGUAGUUAAAAAUAAGGGUAAUAUUGUAAACUUACACUGUCAGGGGGUUUUUGGCCAUUAGAAAACAACAAGGGGGUAAAUGGUAUAUGUUAAUUACUGUAGAGGGGAAAGUGACAAUCCCCCUUUUGAAUAUUAUGUAUACCUUAUGUAGUUUCAAACUUUUUACUUGUAUUUGGAGACCAUUUAAAGUUGUUGUUGAAGAAGUGUAGAAAGAUGAAAAAUAACUUCAUCUUACAACAACUGUGAAAGAUAUUAAAAUAAUAUUUUUUCAAAAUCCAAUUUUUAGCAUAAAUUUCAUCCUUAAUUAAACAUCACAUGUAUUAUAUAAAUGAAAAACUAACAUUAUUCAAUUUAAAUUAAAAAAUAAUAAAUAUAUGAGGUAAUAAAUAUUAUAACGAGUUUUUAUUUUAAAAUUGUAAACUUUUGUUUCUGACAGUAACUCUUAUAUUAAUUUACUUAUUUUGCCUUUUAUUCAUAAGUUUUAUGCAUAAUCUACAAACUUUAUGUUUUAUUUUGCAUUUAAUGUUGAUUUACCUUUUUUAUAUUAUAUUUAUAAGUUUUCAUUUGAUUUACCAGUAAUACAUCAAUUUAUCAAUUUUAUAGUAAUUUACUUAUUUUACCUUCUUUUUACAAUUCUUAUGUUUCAUUUUCAAAAUUUAUGUUUUAUUUUACAGUUAUUGAUGAUUUACUAGUUUUAUAUUAUGUUUGCAAGUUUUUGUUUUAUUUACUAGUAAUAAAUUAAUGGGUAAUUUUUAAUUUAGUCCUCAUGUUUUCGAGAAAAAAAUUCAGAGACUAGAAAUUUACUAAAUGAAUCAAUUAAAUUAUUUCAAGCACAAACUAAUGUCAAUCAAGUCCUUAACUUAAUUGCUUAGUUAAAAAUAUUAACAACAUUGAGGAUAUUUUAGUAAAACAACAAUUGAGCCCUUCCUCAUUCUUUAUUUUUGACAUGUGGCAAUAGUUUAAAGUAAAUUCAAUUAACCUAAUUAAGUUAAGGAUCAGUUCUUGCAAACGAAAAAAAAAAAAAAACCUACAAAAACUGCCAUAAUCUUCGUGUGAGAGGAGAGAUCGAGAGAAUGUGGGAUGGUGCCAAAAAUGUUGUAUAAAUCUACUAUGAUUUUGACCAAAGCUUUGUUAGCAUUUGUUGAGUUCAAGUACUGGAGAGAACCUAAUUAUAAAGGUCAGUAACUCUAUUUUUUUAGUGAUUUUUGCAAGCGUUUUUUGAUAAAAUUGUUUCCAUAUUUAGUGAUCGUUGUGAAAAAUUAGGUUUUUCAAGUCUAUUUUUCUAAAUGACAAACUAUGUUUAAUUACUGGUGGUUUUUUUUUUAUUGAAUGUGGUAUUUUGUUAAUACAUUGUUUUUAAUUUGCUCUUCAUGUAAUUAUUAGACCAAAUACGCCAUAAUUAUAUUUGUAUUCAUUUCAACCAAUUGGUAUUGUUAUAUUAAUAAGAUUGAAUUCAUUGUAUUUGCUUCUUUGUUCAUGCAAAAAUUGAAUUCUAUGUGUUCUUAUGAGUGGUAAUUUUUCUAUAUAUUAGAAUAAAUUCACAAUAGUUGCUAAUUUCUUUCUUUUUGCUGGGUUAUUUUUUCUUUUUAGUUUUUAUUUUUUAUAUGUAUUAGAUUGAAUUUGCUUUUGUACUUUUUUUAGCCGAAUUACAUGUAUAUUUCAUUUAGGUUAAGUUUUUUUGUUCUUUGCUAAAUAAAAUUGUAUUGGUUUAUCCUUUUUUGUUGCAAUACUUUUUGUUUUAAAUUGAUGCAAGUAGCCAUGUUACCUUUUGUUUUUCAGUUAAAAUUAAUGGGGUGGUGUAUGAGAUAGGAUAUAGAGAACCAGAGGAAUAUAAGAUUAUUAGGUUGUUUCAUGAAAUUCAAGAAUUCAUGGUUAAGCAUGGACAUAAUGAAAUGGAUAUGAUUGAAAUUUCUAUUGUAUUGCCAUGGACUACAAGUAGGCAGAAAAAGCUAAUUUCAAACGAUAGUGAAUUGUAUUGGGUUUUUUAGGAGUUUUUUUUUUUAUCAAUAGUUGUCAUGUCAUUGAGUUUGAGGUGCACACUGGGUCAGGUGGUCAGUCAUGUCAUGAAAAUGUUGUAAUAGGAUCUGAAAAUCUUAUCAAUAUAGCGGUUGGGUGGGUAGUGAUAAGUUUGAAAAAUUUAGUGAGGAUGGCUUUAUCGGAGGGCUCUCAUCUAAUGAAGAGAAUGGUCUCUCACAUAUGUAUAAAUCCAUUGUUGAUAAUGAGUAGAAACCAAAUCCAAAUAGUUUAAUUAGUCUAAAAGUAGGAAAUACAUUUGAAUCUGUUGCAUUAUUAAGAGAGGUUAUAAUGAAGUAUGCAAUCGAAGAGGGUUUUUAGUUGAAUAGGAUUAAAAAUGAUGGUGUUAGGUAUUAUGUCAAUCUAAAAUGCACUUGGAAACUUAAUGCUUCAUCGAUGGUUGACGGGAUAACUUUUAAAAUUAGGUAUAUUAAAGGGAAACAUGAUUGUCAGAUUAAAUAAGUUAACAAAGAUGCAACAGCACAUUGGAUGAUGUACAUGUCAUAAUGAGAGAGCUAAAAGAUAAACAUAGGAUUGAAUGUGAUAAACAAGAACUAUGCAGGGCAAAAGAAAUUGCACUAAAAAACCUAGGUCUUGACCAUGUUGCUUGCUAUGGAAAGCUUUUGAAAUAUGCUCACAUUCUAAUGAAAAUGAGUAGAGGUGCUUGUGUCAAGCUAAAGUUGAUAGGCCAUUGUCAAAUAGCCUAGUUUUUCAAAGGUUUUUUUAUCAUUUCCCGCACUUAAAGUGGGGUACCUAACUGGGUGUAGACCUUUCAUAAGAUUGGAUGGGUGUCACUUGAAUGGGCCAUAUAGGGGAGUAUUGUUAUCUGUUGUUGCAUUAGAUGCUGACAGUAGAAUUUUGCCACUGGCUUUUUGCAUAUGUGAGGCAGAAAACUAUGAUAGUUGGGGUUAUUUUUUUUAUCUUUUUUGUAUGAAUUCAUUGGGGCCGAUGAUCAUAGACCUGUGACUAUUAUUAGUUAUAGACAAAAAGGUCUUUUAUGGCGACUAAAAAAAUAUUAGCCUAAUGCUAGCACUAGAUAUUGUGCUAGGCAUAUCUUUGCCAAUUGGAAGUGCAGGUUUCCUGGUUUGAAUGUGAUGGGGUUAUUCUGGAAAGCUUGUAGGGCUGCAAAUCAAUAUGACUUUGAGAGGGCAAUGAGUUAAAUUAGGGCUAAAGACCAAAAUUGUUGUUGCUUAAAGAUUGUGGGAAUAUGAGAUAUUUCCUUGGAAACCAGCAUUGGCUCUAAGUUAUUGCUUAAAGAUGUCAAACAUGUACCAUAUAUUCUUCUUAAUUUGAUCUCUACAGGCAAGCUUGAUGAUGAUGGUUAUACCAACUAAUUUGGUGAAGGAGUAUGUAAGCUCACCAAAGGCUCCUUAGUGUUAGUUAAAGAGAGGAAAGUAAACACCCUCUAUGUGUGAUAACUCUAUGAAACGAGAGUUAUUAUAGAAAUUCUAAACUUAAAUCAAUAUUACUUACAGAGUAAAUGAUGUGUUUCUAUUGUAUUUUUGUUACAUUGUGUAUAAACAUUCAUUUUAGUUUAGUCUUAAUAAAUUUUGCUUAAUUUAGAAUAAUUCGUGCUUAAAUUGUGUGCAUAAUUAUAGGUGUCUAGAAGCUCAUAUCUCAUGGAAGGAGUGUUGAUGCAAUAGGCUUGUAAAAAUGAGGAAGAACAUGGCUACAAAAGAAUUGAAACAAAUCUGGAAUAAUGUAGUGUUGUAGCCGUUCUUGUAGCAACCAUUGCUGUAGCAAUCCUGGAACAACGAUAGAGAAAAUUUAGCACGAGAUACUUGUAGAAUCAAGAUCUGCAAUUUCUUAAUUUGACUUAUGCGCGCCCUGGGCUUCUGUUUACCCUAGUUUUCAGUUAUAAAAAGAGCACGCAUCAUAUGGUAAAAGGGGCGGUGAAUUAACAGCAAAGAAAUCAAGAGGAAAAGAAUGAAAAAUCAGAAUUCAAGGGAGAACAAGUCUGCACCAGUGAAGAUAUUGGCAUAACUAUUUGGAUUCAAUUUUCAUCGUUCUUUACUUAUCCCUUUUCUUACUCUUUGAUUGAACCGAUGGAUUUCAUCGCUGAUACUUUGUUGUUUGUUUUUCUUUUCCAAAGUAUGAACUAAAUUUGAUUGUAAUUGAGUGACAAACAAUCUCAAUGGGUUCUUGACUGUUCUUAUGAGUUAUUAAAAGAUUGCUGUAGCAUUUUGCUGUAAUAGCUUAUAUUAGAAUUAUUAUUUCGGUUGACCUCCCAUUUAAUGGUUCAAGUUAAGAGAGAGCCACAAAAUGGCAUGUCUUAGUGGAAAUUAUUAGAGUAAUACUUGAUCUUAAUUUAAGUUUUCUGGAUUGAGUUUAACUUGAGCCCCAAAAGAGCCACACUUGAGUUAAGAUUUGUGAAGAACUAGAUAUAGGGAUUCACCUUAUAGGGUAGAGGGGGUGUAUGUUCAUAAUGCCAUACCUUAGGUGAAAUGACAACUGGUCAUUGUUAGAGUGCUUAAGGGUAUGAGAAGUCCAACAAGCGACAGCUGAGGAUGCAAAAUAAUUUUGCACUGUGCUGUUGGAAUUGCUGUAAUAACUGGUGUUUAUUUGAACAGAACAGUCAGCCCAUGAAUAGAGUUUGAUCAUUCAGCUACCUCAUUCUCAUUAAAUUCUUCUUUACGCAAUUCAUCUAAUUUACUUUAUUACUGCAUUUAUUUUAUUAAAAUUGUUAAUUUCGGUAGUAAUAAACUUUAAUUAGAUUUCUCUUUAGAUAAAAGAAAUUUGCACUGUCGUGAUUGCUAUAGCAUUUCUAGUAAUAUCAGUUCAUGUGGAGACGAUCUUGAAUAUUCAUCAUUUUAUUACUUGUUGUGUACACUUGCACAUGAUAUCAAUAGCAAUUGAGUUAAAUUAAAUAACAAGUUUUUGGCGCCGUUGCCGGAGAUUGAUUGUUUAUUUUUGAAGUGUGAAGUCAAUCUUGACAAAUGCCAACUUGAUCUAAUUCAUUCUAUUUAUUGACAGAUCAUGACUUGCAUGGGCAAAGGCAGAUCUGUUGAAUUUCAAUUUGAUCCUGAGAUUGAAAGGACUGUAAGGAGAUUGCGAAGAGAGUGAAGAAAUUCAAAAACUGUUUCAAAAAUGGAUAACUUGCAAGAUGUGGGAAACUUGGAUCCUCACGGGCCACUACAACCUGUCAAUGUUCAAGAGGGGCAAAUGGGCACGUUAAUCAAAGACAACCAAGCAACAACAAUAUCAUUUACAUGGAAGACGAUAGAGAUAGGGUUAUCAGAGAUUAUGUUGUGUUAACUCCUUAAGUUGUACAUCUUGGAAUAGUCAGACCUGAAGUGGAAGCCGCCAACUUUGAACUUAAACCGGUAAUGUUUCAAAUGCUACAAAUAGUGGGUCAAUUUAAUGGACUGUCAUCUGAAGAUCCUCAUCUCCAUCUUAAGUUUUUUUUGGAAGUAAGUAAUGCUUUUAAAACUGCUGGAACAACGCAUAAUGCUUUGAGACUGAGGCUUUUUCCUUACUCCUUAAGAGAUCGAGCAAGAGCAUGGUUGAAUUCCUUACCAUCUGAUUCCAUCACUACAUGGAAUGACUUGGCUGACAAAUUCUUAAUGAAAUAUUUUCCACCAACCAAGAAUGAAAAAUUGCAAAAUGAGAUCACCUCUUUUCAUCAACUUGAAGAUGAGAGCUUGUUUGAGGCUUGGGAGAGAUUUAAAGAGUUUCUCAGAAGAUGUCCUCAUCAUGGCAUUCCCUGUUGCAUACAGCUAGAAACCUUUUACAAUGGGUUGAAUCCAAGUACAAGAUUGAUUGUCGAUGCUUCAGCAAAUGGAGCCCUAUUAUCCAAAUCUUACACUGAAGCUUAUGAAAUUUUGGAGAGAAUUCCUAACAAUAACUACCAGUGGCCAUCAACUGAAAAACUGUAGCAAGAGAAGCAGCAGGGGUACAUAACAUAGAUGCAAUUACAGCACUGUCAGCUCAAGUAACAUCAUUGACUAACAUGGUAAAAGCCAUGACUUCUACUUCUACAGUAGUAAAGCAAGUUGCUGAACUAUCUUGUGUGUAUUGUGGUGAGGAGCAUGUAUUUGACAAACUGUCUAGGAAAUCCAGCAUCAGUAAACUAUGUGGGAAACUUCAACCGACAGCCCUAGAACAACCCAUAUUCAAGUACUUACAACCCUGGAUGGAAUCAACACCCAAAUUUCUCAUGGAGCAAUCAAAAUCAGCAUGCUUCAGCACCUAGUGGACAGAACAAACAUGCUCAUCCACUUGGUUUUCAUCAGCAAAAUUAAGAGCAAAAACACACUAGCCAUGAUCAAAUCACCUCAUUGGAAACACUUUUUAAGGAAUGUAUCGUAAAGAAUGAAGCAAUUGUGCAAAAUCAAGCUGUAUCUCUGAGAAACCUGAAAAACCAAAUUGGACAGUUUGCCACAGCAAUGAGUAGUAGAUCUUAGGGAAGUUUACCCAGCAAAACAGAAGAUCCAAGAAGAGAGGUAAAAAACAUUGUAAAGUAAUCAACUUAAGAUAUGGGAAGAAUGUUGAUAUUGCUGUUGAUGUGACUAAAAAGAGGUUGGAACUUAACUCCUCACAAGAACCACCUCAAGAUGAAAUGAUGUUACAGCAACCCAGCCACUAAGAUACUGGCACUAGUGGUCAAGCUACAGCAACCUUGGAAGAAAAUCACCCAAUACCUAUUGAAGAAGAUGUUGCAACACCAGUGGUGACAAAUUACAAUAAAUCAAAUGAGCAGAUAUUGGUACCUCUUGAAGUUGUACAACAAUUUAGGCAUCCACCUCCUUUCCCACAGAGAUUCCAGAAACAAAAACAAGACUAAUAGUUUAGCAAAUUCCUGAAAGUGCUGAAACAGUUACACAUCAACAUACCUUUUGUGGAAGCAUUAGAGCAAAUGCCUAAUUAUGUGAAAUUUCUAAAAGAUAUUUUAACAAGAAAAAGAAGGUUGGGAGAAUUUGAAACUGUUGCUUUAACACAGGAAUGCAGUCACAUGUUUCAGAGUAAGAUUCCUAAAAAAUUAAAGGAUCCAGGAAGCUUCACAAUAUCAUGUUCAAUUGGAACUAAGUACAAUGGCAGAGCACUCUGUGACUUGGAGCCAGCAUUAAUCUAAUGUCAUUAUCUCUAUUUAAGCAAUUAGGAGUAGACUUUGAGUCUGAUAAAGAGGUACCAAUUAUAUUUGGAAGACCUUUCCUGGCAACCAGGAAGACUCUGAUAGAUGUUCAGAAAUGAGAGCUAACCAUGAGGGUGAAUGACCAACAAGUCACCUUCAAUGUAUUAGAAGCUAUGAAGAGUCCUGAUGAGGCAGAAGAUUAUAAUUUUUUUAGUGUUGUGGACCUUGUUGUGGCAGACAGAAUAAAUAGAUGCUGCAGUAAAAAGGUUAUCAAAGCUGCCACCUUUGAAAGCUUUGAAGAAGAAAAUGUUACAGCAAACCAGAUAGAUUGGAUGGUAGAAAGGCAAUCUAAAAGACAUAGCAGAUUUAUCGAACCUCUAAAUCUUUCAAACAGGGACAUAAAGACAACUUUACCAUCUAUUGAAUCAACUCCUACUCUUGAAUUAAAAUUGUUACCUUCACAUUUGAAAUAUUCAUAUCUUGGUGAGAACAAUACACUUCCGGUAAUCAUUUCAUAUUCUUUAGAUGCAGAUCAAGAAAGAAGUCUGGUAUAUGUGCUUAGGAAAUAAAGAAAAACAAUUGGAUGGACUAUGACAGACAUUAAACGGAUCAGCCCAUCCAUAUGCAUACAUAAAAUUCUGUUAGAAGACUGCUAUAGCAAUUCAGUAGAGCAACAGAGAAGGCUAAACCCCAUUAUGAAGGAAGUUGUAAAGAAAUAAAUCAUCAAAUGGCUGGAUGUUGGGAUCAUAUACCUGAUAUCAGACAGUUCAUGGGUGAGCCCAGUACAAUGUGUUCCAAAGAAAUAAGGAAUAACAGUAAUAGAAAAUGAAAAGAAUGAACUUAUUCCUACAAGAACAAUGACUGGAUGAAGGGUAUGUAUGGAUUAUAAGAAGCUCGACAAAGCCACACGGAAGGAUCACUUCUACUUUCAUUUAUAGAUCAAAUGUUAGACAGAUUUGCUGGAAAAUAAUAUUAUUGUUUCCUAAAUGGGUAUUUAGGUUACAACCAAAUUGUUAUACCCCCAGAAGAUCAGGAAAAGACUACAUUCACCUGUCCUUAUGGAACUUUUGCCUUUAAAAGAAUGCCCUUUGGUCUGUGUAAUGCUCCAGCAACUUUCCAGAGAUGUAUGAUGUCUAUUUUCUCAGAUAUGGUGGAGCAAACAUUGGAAGCCUUCAUGGAUGAUUUCUCAGUUUUUGGAGAAACAUACACUGAUUGUUUACAUAACUUGGAAGAAGCUCUUAAAAAAUGUGAGAUGACUAACUUAGUACUCAAUUGGGAAAAAUGCCACUUCAUGGUGCAAGAAGGCAUAAUGUUGGGUCAUAGAGUGUCCAAGAAUGGCAUAGAGGUAGAUAAAGCAAAAAUAGAAGUGAUAGAUAAACUGCCACCUCCCACUUCAGUCAAGGGUAUUAUAAGUUUUUUGGGACAUGUUGAAUUCUACAGAAGAUUCAUAAAAGACUUCUCCAAAGUAGCUAAACCAUUAUGCUCACUACUAGAACAUGACAAGCCUUUUCAUUUUGAUAAAGACUGUCUUUAAGCUUUUAAAGAAUUGAAGAAAAUUUUGAUCAUUGCACCAAUGGUUAUAACACUAGAUUUGACUCUAUCUUUUGAGCUGAUGUGUGAUGCCAGUGACCACUCUGUUGGGGCAGUGCUGGGGCAGAGAAAGAAUAAGAUUUUCCACUCUAUAUACUAUGCCAGUAAAACUCUUGUUCAAGCUCAGAUUAAUUACACCACUACAGAAAAAGAGCUGCUAGUAGUAGUAUUUGAUUUCAAUAAGUUUAAAGCUUACUUGGUGGGUACUAAAGUGACAAUCUACACAGAUCAUGCAGCCAUCAAGCACUUAAUCUCAAAGAGAGAUGCCAAACCAAGAUUAAUAAGAUGGGUAUUAUUGCUUCAAGAGUUUGAUUUGGAAAUUAAGGAUAGAAAGGGGACUGAAAAUCAAGUAGCAAACCAUCUAUCGAGGCUGAAAGCAAAUACGAGCACAUUGACUAAACAAGACAUCACUGAAACAUUUCCUGAUGAACAACUGUUAGUGCUAUAACAUGCACAGAUGCUACAGCAACCGAGAUCUCCAUGGUAUGGAGAUUUUGCUAACUACUUAGUAAGUGGAUUGCUACCACCUGGGUUGAAUUUUCAGUAGAAAAAGAAAUUUCAUUUUCAGUAGAAAAAGAAAUUUCAUUUUCAGUAGAAAAAAAAUUUUCAUUUUCAGUAGAAAAAAAAUUUUCAUUUUCAGUAGAAAAAGAAAUUUUCAUUUUCAGUAGAAAAAGAAAUUUUUUCAUGAUGUUAAAAGCUACCAGUGGGAUGAUCCAUACUUGUAUAAGUUAUGCUUAGAUCAGGUAAUCCGAAGAUGUGUUUCAGAGGAAGCAAUUUCACAUAUACUGCAAUAUGGCCAUGCUGCAGCAUAUGAAGGACAUUUUGGUGGACAAAGAACAACUGCUAAAGUUCUACAAUCAGGUUAUUACUGGCUUUCUAUUUUUAAGGAUACUUAUGAGUUUGCUAAACGUUGUGACAGAUGCCAAAAGACAGGAAACAUAACUCAAAGACAUGAAAUGUCAUUAACAAACAUUCUGGAAGUGGAGAUUUUUUAUGUAUAGGGAAUAGACUUCAUGGGCCUUUUCCCACCAUCCUUUGAGAAUUUUUAUAUCCUGGUUGCUGUGGAUUAUGUCUCCAAGUGGGUAGAAGCUGCAGCAUUACCUAUCAACGAUGCAAGAGCAAUAGUGAAUUUUCUUCAGAAAAAUAUUUUUUCCAGGUUUGGCACUCCACGAGCAAUUAUUAGUGAUGAGGGUACUCAUUUCUGCAACAAAGCAUUUGCUGCAGCAAUGGCCAAAUAUAGAGUCAAACACAAAAUUGCGACAGCAUAUCACCCACAAUCCAAUGGCCAGGCAAAAGUAUCUAAUAGGGAAAUUAAGAAGAUUCUAGAAAAGGUAGUGAAUCCUUCAAGAAAGGAUUGGUCAUUGCGAUUACAUAAAUCUUUAUAGGCUUUCAGAACAGCAUAGAAGACACCACUUGGCAUGUCUCCCUACCAAAUUGUGUAUGGAGCACAAAGCAUAUUGGGCACUGAAGCAAUUAAAUUAGGAUAUACAUGCUGCAACAGAGCAGAGGAAACUUCAACUAUGUGAACUUGAUGAAUUACGGUUAUUCUCAUAUGAAAAUGCAAGAAUCUAUAAGGAGAGAACAAAACAAUGGCAUGACAAGCACAUCCAAUAAAGAAAAUUAAUCCCUGGUCAACUAGUUCUGCUCCAUAAUACUAGGUUAAGACUAUUUCCAGGAAAGCUGAAAUCUAGAUGGUCUGGACUUUUCAAGCUGCUCAGAAUUUACCCUCAUGGGGCUGUUGAACUCUUAGAUGGAAAGACAGGCCAAGAAUUCAAAGUUAAUGGGCACAGAGUUAAGCAUUACAUGCAUUCAGUUACAGAUUGUUCAAAUGAGGUCGUACUCCUUAGUAAACCGGCAUUGUGAGCAUUCAAGAAAGGUCACGUUGAAGGACCUUAAAUCAAACAUUGAAUGGGAGGCAACCCAUUGCUGAGGCAGUCAUUUCAAAUGAAGUGGAUCCUCCAUGUUUUUGUUGUAGUAUUUAUUUAUUUAUUAUUUUUCUUAGUUAGGAUUGUUUAAUUUUUAUCUUUUAUUGUUUUAUUUUAAAAAAAAACGAAACAUGCCAAGUCACGCAAUUCUUAGAGUUGGAUUCAAUACUGACAAUUGGUGUUGUAAUAUUAACAGGUUACAAAGGCAAGUUACUUGACAGCAACCAUCUGAGGAGAUUGUUGUGCAGAUUGCUAGAGCAUACAUUUUGUUGCUGCAACAACCAAUUUUAUUAUUACAGUAACUUAACUACGGAGCCUCACAUUUUACCGUUGGAGAUAACAUGUGACAGCUAGUUGGGUGAACUCAGAUAAAGAUUGGGGAAGAAUGCAUAAUCUCUUAAAUAACUGCAUCAAUAUCUCUUUCCUAUUUUUAUGGGAUAUGCUUAAUAAAUUCAAAAAUUCUUCCCUAAUUUAUCUCUUUUACCAAAUUUAUUUUAUUUAUUUUGCACCUAUAUAAGAGUUUCAUUGUGCAUGUUGACCUCUAACACUAUUUUCUUUUCCCUUCACAGUCACAACCCCUCUAUUUUAUAACCUCUGCUCUUCGUUUCACUCUUGAACAUAUUACCACAGUUAUCCUACUACUGCAGUAAUGCCAAGGUAUAAAAGGACAGCCAGCCGACUAAACGAUCUAUCACAAUUUUAAAGUUACCAUGCGGAAGAGAAGUAUGAAGAAUUUAUUGAACCGCGCAAGAUUUUGGAAGAAAAAGGGCUUCAGUUCCCACCUCAACCCUCUAGAAUUGUGCAAUCAUUAUACGAUGCUGCAGCAAAGCACGGGUGGCUGGAGUUUUGUAACCACCCCCGAGAUCCUGUGUUGGAGCUAUUUGCAGCACUUGGAGGACCACCUACACCAAUUUGUUGUAUAUAUAAAAGUACCCAUAACAAUUUCCCUGAUUCACUGCUACAACAGUACAAUUUUGGUACCUCCAUUAUAGAAGUCAGUGAAGAUGUUGCUGACACAGAUAAACAUGAGGAAGAAACAGCAGCAGAACAGCAAGCAGAUGCUGAUAUAGAUGCUGAUAACCAGUCAGACCAGCAUGAAGAAUAAUGUGUCCAGUCUACAAUUGAUAGUUCCCCGACAGAGGAGGAGGAAAAGCAUGAGAAAGAACUCGAAGAACCCUCAGCCAGGACCUUUUCCAAGUCCAGGAAAAAGCACAUCAUACGAGAAAAGGAAGAUGAACCUGCAGAGGAGCCUCCCAUUCCAUUCCUCUCUCGAAAGGGCAAAGAGAAAGUAAUUACCCCUCCUGCAUCUGACGAUGAAGCCGAGCACAUUGAUGCAGAAUUGGAAGUUGCAGCAGCCAGGGUUACUCGUACACCCAUCGAGACAAAGCAUAUGCUUGAUAUCAUUGCCGCAAUCAUGACUGAGGGGUAUACAGUCGAAGACCCAACUCCAGCUCCCUCACGGCAAACCCCCAGCAAACCUAUUCUCGCUAGUCCUAAAGGACCCAGCAAAAGAAAGGGGGGCACUUCUGGAGGCAUUGCUGCAGUAGACACACCAGAGCCAAAGAGGACCAUAUCUGUUUUGUCCCAGCCAGCUGCACCCACUGCAACUCCUCCUACUAGCCCAUCGCAAAGAAAGAAAAAGUCAUUGCCAACUACCUCACCGCAAGAAUCUCCUAAAGACCGACUGCGGAGCGCCUCCAAAAAGCGGUGAAUUGGUUAUAAUUUAUUGCAGCAGUAUUUCUAGCACCAGGGGAGUACCACUACCCGCUAGUUUAUUUUACUUCUUCAUGCAACAACUUUUUCUUCAUUUAGUUUUAAUUUUCUGAUUUAUUUUGCAUGUCUUUUUAUUUAGUAUAUGCAUAUCUGGUUUAUAUGGUUUUGUUUUGUGUGCCUGUGAAGACACAACACCUUUCAAGUUUUGGGGGGUUGUGCUAUCAUAUAGUGUGUUAUUGAGUGCAUUGCAUGUGUUGUGGUGUUGUUUGUGAAGUGAAGCUCUGUAUCUACUGCUUAUGUAUGGAUUUGAAAGCCUAAUGAAGAUAAAUUGAGUGUUACUCAGUAUGUAUGAGAAUGCCCAGUAGGGAUAGUCAUAGAUGGAGAUUGAAAUUAUGUCCCGACACUUAGACUUUGGUUGAAAUUCAUGAGACUGCUGCAGCAAAAUCAAGAAAACUGCAAAGAGUAGAAAAUAUAUCAAGUUUAGGGGAAAUGUGUGUGUUGAGUUGUGCUUAUUAAAGUCUGUUCCAAUGGCUUAAAUGGUUGAGUAACUACGGCUGAGUAUGUACCCCAUAUGCAGACUUGAGUUAAAAAGCAACAAGAGUUAUGAGCAUUGUUGUAGCAAUUGAAAAAAAAAAGAAAAAAAAAAGAAGUCCUCUGUCUGAGAAAUUGAGUAGCCAUGUCUGUUAAUGAGCCCCAUGUUCAGCCUUGAGUUAAAGAUAUCUUUAGAUAAGACUAUGUUAUGACCAUUGCUAUAGCAACUCUGACAUGUACGUUGAGUAAGUAAUUGGGUGUCAUCAUUACAAGUGAUAGGCAUUCACAUGAAAGUUCAAUGUUGUAUUGAAGGGAGUGAAUAUAUAGAUAUAUAUAUAUAUAUAUAUAUUGUUUGUUGAAGCACAAUUUAUGUUUAUUUGUGAAUUAUGCUCUCCCAUAUAUGAAUAUAUUUGUGUUCUACCUUUGAAUUACAUGCAAUAUCUCUGUAAUGUUGUAGCAUCUCUGGACUUUGAUCAAAGUGGCACACACAUUUUGGACAGAAUGCAGCCUAAGUCUAGAACUGAACUGUUAUGGCUAUUUUGCAUGAUUAAGAGUGUGAUCUGAGGGUGGAAGAAUCCUUGCAACUUUGAUGAUAAAGCUGAGCUAUUUGUUGCAUGAUUGAGUGAUUGAAGUGUUAGCAUUGUUGUCAUUACUUAAAAACAAGUAAUGGUUUAAGUUUGGGGGUGUGAUAACUCUAUGAAAUGAGCGUUAUUAUGGUAAUGCUAGAAUUAAAUCAAUAUUUACUUAGAGAGUAAAUAAUGUGUUUCUAUUAUAUUUUUCUAUUGUAUUUAAUAAAUUUUACUUAGUUUAGAAUAAUUUGUGCUUAAAUUGUGUGCAUAAUUGUAGGUGUCCAGAAGCUCAUAUCUCAUGGAAGGAGUGCUGAUGCAAUAGGCUUGUAAAAAUGAGGAAGAACAUGGCUACAAAAGAAUUGAAACAAAUCUGGAACAAUGUAGUGUUGUAGCCGUUGCUGUAGCAACCAUUACUGUAGCAAUCCUGGAACAACGACAGAGAAAAUUUAGCGCGGGAUACUUGUAGAAUCGAGAUCUGCAGUUUUCUAAUCUGACUUAUGCGCGUCUUAGGCUUUUGUUUACCCUAAUUUUCAGUUAUAAAAAGAGCACGCAUCAUAUGGUAAAGGGGGCGGUGAAUUAACAUCGAAUAAAUAAAUCAAGAGGAAAAGAAGGAAAAAUCAGAAUUCAAGGGAGAGCAAGUUUGCACUAGUGAAGAGAUCGGCAGAACUAUUUGGAUUCAAUUUUCAUCAUUCUUUACUUGUCCCCUUUCUUACUCUUUGAUUGAACCGAUGUAUUUCAUGGCUGAUACUUUGUUGUUUGUUUUUCUUUUCCAAAGUAUGAACUAAAUUUGAUUGUAGUUGAGUGACAAAUAAUCGCAAUGGGUUUUUGACUAUUCUUAUGAGUUGCUGAAAAAUUGAUGUAGCAUUUUGCUCUAAUAGCUUAUAUUACAAUCAUUAUUUCGGUUGACUUCUCAUUUAAUGGUUAAAGUUAAAAGAAAGCCGUAAAAGGGCCUGUAUUAGUGGAAAUUAUUAGAGUAAUACUUGAUCUUAAUUUAAGUUUCCUAAAUUGAGUUUAACGUGAGUGCCAAAAUAGCCACACUUAAGUUAAGAUUUGUGAAGAACUAGAUAUAUGGAUUCAUCUUGUAGGGUAGAGGGGGUGUAUGUUCAUAAUGUCAUACCUUAGGUGAAAUAACAACUGGUCAUUGUUAGGGUGCUUAAGGGUAUGAGAAGUCCAACAAGAGACAGUUGAGGAUGCAAAAUAAUUAUGCCCAUGAAGAGAGUUUGAUCAUUCAGCUACCUCAUUCUCUUUAAAUUCUUCUUUACGCAAUUCAUCUAAUUUACUUUAUUACUGCAUUUAUUUUAUUAAAAUUGUUAAUUUCAGUAGUAAUCAACUUUAAUUAGAUUUCUCUUUAGAUAAAAGAAGUUUGCACUGUCGUGAUUGCUGUAGCAUUUCUAGUAACAUCAAUCCAUGUGGAGACGAUCUUGAAUAUUCAUCACUUUAUUACUUGUUGUGUACAUUUGCAUAUGACAUCAAUAACAAUUGAGUUAAAUUAACCAACAAUGUGUUAGAAGCCAAGAUUAAGAAAGAAGAUGUGAAUGUGGCUAUAAAAGAUUCUGACAUUGAGACAUGGUAUAAAAAGUUUGGUCACAUUGGUGAAAAAGGGUUAGAAACUCUUGCCAGAAAAAGAUUUCUACCCAGCUUCGUAGAUAUGUCCCUCAAGACUUUUGCUCAUUCCUUAGCUGGAAAGACACACAGAGUAGCUUUUAAAAGGUUUUCUCCAUCUAGAAAGUCGCAAAUCCUUGAUUUGAUUCACACUGAUUUUUGCAUGAUGUAAAGUAGAUCAAUUGGAGGUGCACUUUAUUUUGUUACUUUUAUUGAUGACUAUUCUACAAAGGUGUGGGCUUUUGCUUUGAAAUCUAAAGAUCAAGUGCUUGAUAUAUUUAAGUUCUUCCAUACUUAUUUUGAGAGAGAGACGAGAAGAAAAUUAAAAUGCGUCAGGGUAGAUAAUGGUGGUGAGUAUAAAAGGCCAUUUGACCAAUAUUGCAGAUCCCAUAGAAUUAGACUUGAGAAGACCGUACUAAAACCCCACUGUAGAAUGGUAUUGCAGAAAUGAUGAACAGAACAAUUGAAAAGAGAGUCAGGUGUAUGCCUUCUGAUGCCAAGCUUCAUAAAUCCUUCUGGGCAGAGACUAUGCGUUCUGCAGUUGACUGGAUUAAAUUUUUCUCCUUCAGCUCCAUUGAUGGUGAUGUACCUGAGAUAGUUUGGACUGAAAUAUAUGUUUAUUACAAACACUUGAGAGUGUUUGGUUACAGAAUAUAUGUUCACAUUCAUAAGGAUGAAAGAUCGAAGCUUGAUGACAAAGCUAAAAAAUGCAUUUUCUUAGGCUAUGGGCAUAAAGAAUUUGGGUACAGAUUAUGGGAUCCAGUGCCAAGAAAAUUGAUCAGAAGUAAACAUGUUGUGUUCCUCGAAGAUCAAAUAGUUAGUGAUGCAGAGAAUAGUGAUGAGUCUCAGUCAUCUCUAAAGAUUCCUAUUAUUCUAACUUUAGUUUCUUCAUCUAUAGUUCAUAAUGAUCAUGGAGGAGCUGGAGAGGAUAGUAAUGAUGGUCCAGCAGAACUAGUUGACCAAGCACCUCCAGAACCACCUGCACCAUCAAUGGAGCCUGAAUUGAGAAGAUUUACUAGAGAACGGUGACCUUCCACCAGAUAUCCUCCACAUGAGUAUAUGAUGCUUACAGAUGAAGGGGAGCCAUAAUGUUUUGAAGAAGCCAUGUUUCAAAUAACUCACAAUAACGAUACAAGGCUAGACUGGUUGAUGGGGUACCUAGCAACUUCUUGUUGUGUGGGCUGAUCAGACUUUACUUUCUUAGUUUCUGAUUCUUCUUAUGCUUGCAUUGUUACAGCAUAUACGGAGGGUUGUGCCUUUUUACGCUUGUUGGAUGCCCUAGGAGUUCUGCUAGGAGAUUUGAUGGGAGGUUGUUGAGUAAUGCUUACUGUAGUAGUUUCCCCAGAUGUGAUUUUAGCAAUAAUAUCAGGGAAACUCUUAUUUGCUUCAUCAGUUUUUGUAGCCCUGGUAUCAGCUGCUUUAAUUUCUGCAUCAAUAUCAUCUUGAUCAUUGUCUGAUUCUUCAUCAGUCAGAACUUUUUGUUUACCUUUACUUAGAAACACUGUAAUCGGGGGUUCAUCAUCCUGCCCAUCCUAUGUCUCAUCUUCGUAAACUUUUAUGAUGUGCUUCUUUUUACGUUUAGGAGGUACUACUGGAGGUGCCUCAUCCUUCUACGUUGCUGAUUCGUCUUCUGUACUAUAUUCCUCCUCUAUUUCUUCUUAUUAUUUUUCCUUCUUCUCUUUCUCUUCCUCUGCUGGUAGUGGGUCUUUUUCAGAUUCUAAUUCUUCUUCACUCUCUGCUGCUGCCUCAACUACUGGAGCAUCCCUUGUUAAUGUUUGGAAAUUAAACGGCUACAACAAGGAGUCAUGGAAAUCUUUGCUCUUUUUCUUCAUGUAGACUUCAAACUAAUGUCUAUGGUUUUCAAGGUGCAUUAAAUAAUUCCUGAAUCUUUGAUUUUGUUCUUUCCAUGCGUGUACACAUUCAUUAAUGGUGUCACUUAAUUCUUGCAGCUUCAUCUCAAUGCCAGUAACGUUCAUUGCUCUGGUCACAACAACAUACUCUGGUGUUGCUGUAGUAGUAGUUUCCCUAGCAAUUCUUUCAACAAUUCGAUCAGUAAGAGCUCAUUCAUUCUUAAUGCUUUCAUCUUUUGCUGAUAUUUUCACCCGAAAUACCAGACAAAUCCUAGUAAUGAGUGAGCGAAACAACAAAGCAGCAAUCUUGUGAUUUUUCAUGGCACACUCUAAUCUCCCUCUCUAUAAUUUUCCUCACAUCAAUUGGUAUACCCUUGAAAAUGGCAUAUAAUAGGUAAGAUUUUCAUGAGAUACGGUGGUGGUGUAUGUGGUGGGUAUCAAUCGAGAUUUUAGAAAUUUUACCCACACUUUGGCUACUGGUUUCAAAUCAAUUCUAUUCACUCCUCUGCCUUCCUCAUUCAACCAUGAACUACCCUCCACCAUAAGGAUUUCAAGCACAUCACUUCACUCCUUAGCAAUCAUAUUCUCAAUCAUUUUUGAAUACUCACAAUCAAUAUCAUAUGGUAAAUUAUAAAAAAGCAUUGAUUACCCUCGGAUCUAAAGGGACUUGAACAUUCCUUACCACUAUUGUGCAUUGGUCUUGCCGCAACAUGUUGGAGUAAAAUUCCUUAACGAUUGGGAGCACAAGGUCUCGUGGGUGAGUGUAAAAAUCUAGCCAUCUUUUCUUUGCUACAGCAACAUAGAUUGUGUUGAUUGUUCCUGAUGGUUGUUGAGGGAAUUGAAAAUCAUUUUCCUCUAAAAUCUUCUUAGGCUCUAUAAAUUCUUCAAAUUAUCCUCGGCUUUGUCACUAUGGAAGCGUGAGGGGUCCUUUAGUCGAGCAGUUGUCUUCUUGUACCACGUUAUUGCUAGAGCAACAAAACUGAGUUGUUGGGUACCUAAAAAAGAAAAAACUCAUGAAAGUGACUCUAAAGUAUGUGGAGAACUGUGGACUAGAAGAGAAAAAAUUUGGAUAAGAAUGAAAAGAAGCAUUGUGAAACCCUAAUUUAUAGGUCACGGUAAAAUAGAAAAAAAUAAUUAAUGAGGUAAAUUUAGAAAUUGUAUUUGAAAUUUAAAAUAAAUCCACAUUUACGUUCGGGAAUUUAGGGAUUAUGUAAUCCAUUCUUAUUUUUUAUCUUGAUUUCUUGAGCCAUCUAUCAAAAAUUUACUCCCAACGGUGCAAAAAUACUUUCCAUAGUUAUGUCACUAUAACGGUAAGAAUCAUUGCUACAACAAGUAAUAUAGUGCUGCAGCAACUGCGAUAAAGUCCCUAGUUUGAUGAGAACCAUUGUUCAACUGUCAUAUAAAGUGUAAUGCUGCAACAUCUUGUGUCAGUGUUUUAUCCAAAAAAAAUUCAUUAUUAUUUAUACAUGCCGUAAUAAAAUAAUAGACACAAAUAAAUUAGAUAAAAACUUCAAAAUAUCAACAACCGUAAAGAAAAACAUGAAAACUAAAUUUAAUGUUAAAGGAAAAAUUGAAAUAACUCCCUUAAUCAUUGGGUUGCCUCCCAAUUAGCACUUUAUUUAAGGUCUUUCAGUCUGACCCCCCUUAAUUGCUCAAACUGGAUUUAUGAGGCACAAAUCCUCCCUUGAAUGGUGAAAAUCAUCAUUAAUAUAGUGUUUCACCCGCUGCCCAUUUACUAUAAAUUCAAUGCUAGUUCUCUCAUCUUUGAGGUCCACAGCCCCAUGAGGAUGGAUUUUGAUAAGUCCAAAAGGCCCUGACCAUCUAGACUUUAACUUUCCUAAAAAAAAGCUUUGAUCUAGAGUUGUAGAGCAAAACUCAUUGACCUAGAAUUAAAUCCCUUUGCUGGAUGCGUUUAUCAUGCCAUUGUUUUGUUUUGUCUUUGCAAAUCCUUGCGUUAUCAUAAAAGAACUAUCUUAAUCUUUAAACUCACAAAGUUAAAACUUCCUAUGCUCUGCUGCAACAUGCAUGUCCAUGUUCAGUUGUUUUAGCGCCCAAAAUGCUUUAUGCUCUAGCUCCAGUGGCAAAUAGAAAGCUUUGCCAUAUAUAAUUUUAUAUGGUGACAUGCCAAGUAGUAUUUUGUAAGCUGUGCGAUAUGCCUGUAAGGAAUCAUGUAAUCUAAAAGACCAAUAUUUUCUAGUAGGGUUCACCACUUUUUCUAAAAUCCUUUUUAUUUCCUUGUUGGACACUUCUGGCUGACCAUUAGAUUGAGGGUGAUAUAUUGUAGCAACCUUGUGCUUAAUUCUAUAUUUGGCCAAUGCUGCAGCAAAUAUUCUGUUGCAAAAAUGAGUGCUUUCAUCACUGAUGAUGGCUCUAAGAGUCCCAAAUCUUGUGAAAAUGUUCUUUUAAAUGAAUCUCACCAUGGCUUUGGCAUCAUUUGUUGGUAGUGUUACAACUUCCGCCCAUUUGAACACAUAGUUUAUAGCAACUAAAAUGUAUAAAUCCCCAAAAGAGGGUGGGAAUGGACCCAUGAAAUCCAUCCCCCCAACAUCAAAUAGCUCAACUUCUAAAAUGUUGGUUAAUGGCACUUCAUGUUUUUUAGAGAUGUUCCUUGUUAUUUGGCACCUGUCACAACAUUUAACAAACUUAUAAGCAUCUUUAAAAAUAGAGGGCCAGUAAUAACCUGAUUGUAUAAUUUUUUUACUGCUGGUCUGUGGCCUCCAAAAUGGCCUCCAUAUGCUACAGCAUGACAUGAUUGCAGUAUGUUUGAAAUUUCUUCAUCAGAUACAUAUCUUCUAAUCAUAUAGCCUGAGCAUAUCUUGUACAAAUAAGGUUCAUCCAACUGAUAACUUCUAACAUCAUUAAGAAAUCUCUUCUUCUAUUGGUAACUUAGAUUAAGUGGUAACAAUCAGCUCACCAAGUAAUUAGCAAAAUCUACAUACCAUGGAAGCCCAGAUUAUUGUAGCAUAUGUGUAUGCUUUAGCAUUAACAAUUGCUCAUUAAGAAAUGUCUCUGUGAUCUCUUGCUUGAUUAGAGUGCUUUCAUCUGCUUCCAGCCUUGAAAGAUGAAAUUCUCCUUGGUUCUCAGUCCCUAUUCUUUGUUUAAUCUCGAAGUCAAAUUCUUGUAGCAAAAGGAUCCACCUUAUCAACCUUGGUUUGGCAUCUUUUUUUUAAAAUCAAAUACUUUAUGGCUAAGUAAUCUGUGUAAACAGUCACUUUGGUGCCAACCAAAUAAGCUCUAAAUUUGUCAAAUACAAAGACAAUUGCUAGUAACUCAUUUUUCAAUGGUAGUGUAAUUAAUCUGAGCAUCAGCUAAAGUUUUGUUAGCAUUAUAAAUAGAGUGAAAAAUUUUGUUCUUUCUUUGCCCUAACACUGCUCCAACAGAGUGGUCGCUGGCAUCAGAUAUCAACUUAAAAGGUAAGUUCCAAUCUGGUGUUAUAACAAUUGGUGCUGUAGCAAAAGCUUUCUUCAAUUCUAUAAAAGUCUUUAAACAAAGCUUACCAAAAUAGAAAGGCCUAUCAUGCUCCAGCAGCUAGCAUAAGAGUUUUGAUAAUUUAGAAAAUCCUUAAUGAAUGUUAUAUAGAAUUAUGCAUGUCCCAAGAAAUUCCUAAUGCCUUUAACUGAAGUAGGUGGUGGGAGUUUACUAUUUUGACCUUCUCCACUUAUAUUCCUUUUCUAGAGACUUUAUGGCUUAGGAUUAUCCCUUCUUGUACCAUAAAAUGACACGUUUCCUAAUUCAACACUGAAUUUAUCUCCUCACAUAUUUUAAGCAUAUUUUCUAGAUUAUGUAAACAAUCAUCAUAGAUCUCCCCAAAAAUCGAAAAGUCAUCCGUGAAUACCUCAAGCGUUUGCUCUACCAUAUUUCAAAAAAUAGACAUCAUACACCUCUGGAAUGUUGCUAAAGCAUUGCACAAACUAAAGGACAUCCUUCUUAAAUCCUUCUGAAAUAAGCAAAAGUUUCAUAAAGACAAGUGAAUAUUGUCUUCUCCUUAUCCUCUAGUGCUAUAGCAAUAUGGUUGUAGCCAGAAUACUCAUCCAAGAAACAGCAGUACUUUUUUCCAACAAGUAUGUCUAGCAUCUAAUCUAUGAAAGGCAACGGGAAGUGAUCAUUCCUUGUGGCGUUGUUUAGCUUCCUAUAGUUCAUGCAAACUCUUCAUACAGUUACUGUUUUGUGGGAAUAAGCUCAUUCUUCUCAUUUGUUGCAAUAGUCACUCCACCUUUCUUUGGAUCACAUUGUACUGGACUCACUCAGGAGCUGUCGGAUAUUGGGUAGAUGAUUCCAGCAUCAAGUCAUUUGAUAAUCUCUUUCUUGGUCAAUUUGGGUGAGUACUUGCUAGCAAUCCUCUAGCAAUUAAUUUGAAUUCUUAUAGCUAUUUGACAACUAUUAAUUUAUGUUUUUAUAUUUUCAUAUUAAAUAUAUUUAUUUAUUUAUUUUGAUAAAUUUUUAAAAAAUCAUUACUUAAAUUUAAUUAAUGAAAUAUUUUAAAAAAAUAUUAAAUUGAUAAAAUAAAAUUAUAAAUAAUAACUAUUUGAUGACAUUAAACAAGUUAAAAAGUUAAAGGGGUAAUUUUAAAAGCUUUGAUUUCCAAAAGAAGAAGAAUUUGAAUUCUUCAAUUCUUUGUAUAAAAUUCAAAUUCUAUAUUAGGAUGAAUAGUAAAUUCUAAUAAAAUUUAAAUUCUUAUAUAUUUUGUCCAACCAAACAAUUAAAAAAAAAAAUUCAAAUUACUUUCCUAUUCUCUAUCCUCACCUCCCAACCAAACACCAUCUAAACUCCUUAAUAUGCCACCCACAUAUUCAAACACCUUUGAGAAUCAAAGUAUCCCAGAUCUCCAGUAAGGAACCACCCAAAUUGAAAAGUAGUCUUAUUAGCCUCAGGAUUACCUUUAAUCAAAGUAUCCCAGAUCUUGCUAGCAAUCCUCUAGCAAGAUCUUGUACAUACAUAUGGAGGGGCUGAUUCAUUUGAUAUCUUUCAUGGUCUAUCUAAUGGCCUUCUUGUAUCUCCCCAACAUUUCCACUCAGCUCUUUACUUGAUCUGCAUUCAAAGAAGAUGAAAUGAUUACAUGUAGUGUGUUAUUAUCACCAAGAUAAACAUAUUUUAGAUGUGAAGGUAGAAGUUUUAAGUAUAAAACAUGAGGUAAUUCAAUAGAUGGUACAGCAGGUUUCACUUCCCCAUUUGAAAGAUCUAGAGACUCAAAAUGUCUGUUUGUCCUCACAGGUCGCUUCUCUCUUAACUAUGCUAUAUGCGUUGCUGCAGCAUCUUCAUCUUCAAGUUCUUCAAAUGUGGCGGCCUUGAUUUCUUCAUUGUUGCAGCAAUUAUUUAAGAUGUCUGUGACAGUAAGCUUCACAGCACCGACCAAAUCACAAUCUUCAACUUCAUCAAGACUCAUCAUUGCUUCCAAUACAUUAAAGGUAACUUACUGAUCAUUAACCCUCAUACUCAACUCUCAUUUUUUAACAUCAAUUAAAGUUUUUCCUGUGGCUAAAAAGGGUUUGCCUAGAAUAAUUUGUACUUCUUUAUCUGCUUCAAAGUCCAACACUAUGAAAUCCACUGGAAAAAUGAAUUUAUCCACUUUAAUCAAUACAUCUUCAAUUUUGCCUUCAGGAUAAGCAUGAGAUUUAUCAGCAAGUUGCAAUGUCACUGUGAUUGGUCUGACUUCUCCAACUCCCAAUUAUGUGAAUACUGAUAAUGGCAUAAGAUUAAUGCUUGCUCUCAAAUCACAAAGUGUCUUACUAUUGUAUUUAGUUCUUGUGGAACAAAGAAUUUUAAAACUUCCUGGAUCCUUUAACUUCUAAGGAAUUUUACUUUAAAGUAUAUGGUUCCAUUAUUGUCUUAAAGCAACUAUUUUGAAUUCUCCAAGCCUUUUUUUUCUUGCCAAUAUAUCUUUAAAAAACUUCACAUAAUUUGGCAUUUGUUCCAAUACGUCCACAAAAGAAAUUUUGAAAUGCAGUUGUUUUAAUACUUCCAAUAAUUUACUAAACUGCUUGUCAUGUUUUUACUUCUGAAAUCAUUACGGGAAGAUUUCCCCUUGGGUAUAAUUAGGUUAUGUUCUUCUUUUUGGUACUUUAACUAAAAUAUGAACAUCCUUUUCAGACCUUAAGUUAAUCACCUUGCAAUGCUCUUUUCUUUCUCUUCUUGGAUCCUCUGUAUUGCUUAGUAAAUUGCCCUAAGGUAUGUUGCUCAAUGCUGUAGCAAGCUGUCCAAUCUGAUUCUCCAAGUUUCUUAAAGAUAUGGCUUGACUUUGGACUACUACUUCAUUCUUCACAAUAUACUCCAUAAUUAGAGUUUCAAAGGAACUAAAUUGAUCAUUACUGGUGUUUAUUUUCCCUUAAAAUUGCUGAUGAAAUCCAAGUGGCUAAGCAGGUCUGUUAUGUCCAUUAGAUGUUGCAACAUGCUGAUUCUGAUUGCUCCAUGAAAAGUUUGGGUGCUGUCUCCAUUCAGGAUUAUAGAUGUUUGAAAAUGGAUUGGUUUGAUUUUGUCUAUUGAAAUUGCCCGCAUAAUUGACUAAGCUGGAUUUCCAGGACAACUAUCAUAUAGAUGUCCCUCUCCACAAUAAACACAAGAGACUUCAGCAACUUGGUUAGUUGUUGCUGGAGCAGUGGUCGUUGAUUUUACCAUAUUUGUUAAUGAGGUUACUUGGGCUGAUAAUGAUGUCAGUGCAUCCACAUUGUGUACUCCAGUUACUCCUCUUAUUGCGGCUUGUCUAAUUAAUGGCCAUUAAUAGUUAUUGUUGGCUAUCUUUUUCAAAAUUUCAUAAGCCUCAUUGUAUUACUUAGACAACAAGGCCCCUAGUGUUUGAGUUCAACCCAUUGUAGAUAGUUUCCAAUUGUACACAACAAGGAAUACCAUGAUGAAGGCAUCUCCUGGGUAACUCCUUGAAUCUUUCCCAUGCAUCAUACAAGCUUUCAUCUUCAAGUUGAUGGAAAGAUGUGAUCUCAUUCCUCAACUUUACAUUCUUUGUCGGUGGGAAAUAUUUCAUCAAAAAUUUGUCAGCCAAAUCAUUCCAUGUGGUGAUGGAGUCUAGUGGCAAAGAAUUCAACCAUGCCCUUGCUUGAUCUCUUAAAGAAUACGGGAAAAUUUUGAGUCUCAAUGCAUCUUGUGAUGCUCCAGCAAUUUUAAAAGCAUCACUUACCUCCAAGAAUAGUUUAAGGUGAAGAUGAAGAUCUUCUUAUGGCAAUUCAUUGAAUUGCCCCACUGUUUGUAAUAUCUAAAACAUCACUGGUUUGAGCUCGAAAUUGACAACUUGCAUUUCAGGUCUAACUAUUCCAGGAUGUAUAACUUGAGGGGUCAACACGGCAUAGUCUCUAAUGGCUCUGUCUCUAUCAUCUGUCAUGUAGAUAAUAUUGUUGUUCCCUGGUUGUCCCCAAAUAUUCUGCUCAUUAUGGCUUUCUUGGUCAUUAACUGGUUAUAUUUCUCUGUGAGGGUUCAAGUUCCUCAUAUCUUGCAAAUCGUCCAUUACUACAGCAGCUUUUGAAUGCUUAUUCUCUUUCCUCAAUCUCCUUACAAUUCUUUCAAUCUCUGGAUCAAAUUGGAAUUCAACAUGUUUGUAUUUGCGCAUGCAAGGGUUGGUAGAGCUCUUCUACAAACACAUUAAAAAAAAAGAAAAUUAAAAUCUUGCAUCAACUAAAAUUGAUUUCACAAAACACAAUAAGCACCAAUCCCCGGCAACGACGCUAAAAACUUAUUGUAGGUUUUCUAAUGCUAUUAGUGUCAAUGUGCAAGUGCACAUAACAAGUAAUAUAAUGAUAAAUAUUCUAGAUUGUCUCCACAAGGAUUAUUGUUAUAGGAAUUGCUACAACAAUUUUAUCAGUGCAAUUUUUAUUCUAAAUUAGAAUUAAAAUAAAUUAUUAAAUUAAUGAACUAAUUAAGAUAAAAAUGCAAUAAGAAAAAUACAAUAACAUAAAUUAUCACAGCAAAUAUAAGGAUGUAACCAAGGGGAAUGGAGUAGUUGAGUAAUUAAACUCACUUAAUGGUUUUGAUUAUUUUUCUAAUGUUUGGUUCGAUUACUACAACAUCUUCUACAGCACUGGGAAGAAUCCUUAUGUAUCCUCAAUUGUCGCAUGUUGGAUGUCUUAUACCUAAAAACAACUUAACAAUGACCAAUUGUUAUGCUAACAUUAGAUAUAGCAUUACACGUUUUAGAUUCGAAUUACCCUACAAGGUGAAUCCUUAUAUCUAGUUCAUCACUAAUUUUAGAUUACGCAUGACCUUUUUUUAAUCAGGUUAAACCCAAUUCAGGAAACCCAAUCUAAACCCAACUUAGGAAACCUAAUCUAAACCAAGUAUUGUUAUGAUAUGUUCCACUAAGACAGGUCUUUAUAGGCUCUAUCUUAGCUAAUAUCACUAAAUGGGUGGUCAGCCAAAAUAGUGAAUUGAAAUAAGUAUUAUUAAAACAACGUACUAUAGCAAACAUGCCCCAAUAUAGUAUAUCAGUCAAUUAACUAUCAAGUUUGCUCAUCGCUCAACCACGAGUAAAUUUAGUUCAUAAUUUGCAAUAAAACAAUAAUCAAAAUAGUUUUAGCCAUCAAAUAAUCCAUCAUAACAAGAUAAAAGUAAGAGAACAAAAAAUAAGAGUUGAGAUCUGUUUGAUGUUCUUCUAGAAUUCUUUGUUGCCGUCUUCGAUUCUCUCUCUUGAUAUUUGUUUUAUCUUGUUUUGUUUCUCUAUUGUUUCUCUCAAAUGACGGUCUCUCCUUUUUCUUUGCGUUUGUACUUCUUUUAUAUCUUAGCAUCAGGGCAACCGGAAGCCUAGGGUGCGCAUAUUCUAGUUUAGGAAACUCAAGAUCGCAAUCUUCCAAGUAUUAUAAGCGAAAUCUUUUCUGCCAUUGUUCCAGGAUUGCUACAGGAACAAUGCUACAGCAAUGGCUUCAGCACCUGCACUGUUCCAGAAUUGUUUCAAUUCUUAUAUAACCAUAUUCUUUCUUUAUCUUUGCAAGCCUAUUGCAGCAGCAUUCCUCCCUUGAAAUUUGAGCUUCCGGUCACCUAUAAUUAUAUUAUGAUCUAAGCACAAAAAUUAUUCUGAAACAAUGCAAUUUAUUAAAAUAAACUAUGGAUAUUCAUACAAAAUAUAACUAAAAUGCAAUAAAAAUAUGCCAUUUACUCUCUAAGUAAUCUUGAUUUAAGUCUAAAAAUGUCAUGAAAACUUUCAUUUCACAGAGUUAUCAGCAGCAAAAGGGUUAAUCCAACUAUUGAUUUAGAUCAAGUCUAUAAUGACAAUAACCCCUAACUAUUUGAGCUUAAAGCUCUUGCCAGCAAAUGGGCAAUUGGGAUGAAAGUCCUCUAUAAACAACUUGAAUAGAUAAGUAAAGAAAAAAAAAUGUGGCUUCACUAAGUCAAAACAAAACAUAUAAUCUAUUCAUUCAGUAAAAAAGAAAACAUUUUAGCCAAGCAAGCCAUCUUGAAAAAGAAAAAGGCAAUAUAUGAGAAUCUCGUGGAAUCCAACCUGCCAACACACAGUGGGAUAUGCAAGGUGCUUAAUCAUCAAUCAGAUUCUGGCUUUUGCUAUAAAAAAAAAAUCAAAAGAAUAAUCUAGUAAGGAAGACAUGCCGCUAGAUGAAGAGCUCAUAAUUAACACGUGACAGGAGGCCACUAAAAAGAUAAAGAUGCCAACUAGAAGCAUUAAUAUUUCAGAAAGAAUCCAAAGUAAAGGAUAAGACUUAUCGAAAUCCUUACCUCAACCAUGUGAAGACUAUCAACCAUUAGAAAAAGAAGACAAAAGUUGCCCUUAAUAAUGCAAGAAGAAGGGGUUACCUUAUCUCUGGGAAAUCUAUCAGGCAACAAGUGUCAUGUAAAAAGAUAUAAUCUUAUCUCUAAAAUCUAUAUGUGUAAGAAAGGAUUAUCUUAUCUAUCUAAAUCUAUAAAUAAAGUCACGUAAGAUAGAAGAGGUAUCACUCACGAGCAUUCUCUUAUUCUCAUCUGUAUUCUCUCUUUAAAUUCAAAAAUUAAAUAAAAAAAUUGUUUUUGAGUGAAAUUAUUAUCUUUAUAUAACUUAUUUAGAUUUUAGAAAAAAAAAAUCAAGAAUAUACAUGCCAACACUUGUGCUAAAUAAAGAAGAUUUCAUAUUACUAAGCACUCUUCUAUAUCAAUUACAACAGAUUCACUUAGGCAUAUCUUACUGGCUUAGUCUGCAAUGUGUUGCUUUAGGCCGUGUGGAAUAGUUGUGGGAUUGAUCUUGCAUGAUGUGUGGAGCUAUAACAGUGCUGAGCAUGGGCCAAUUUAUAGGCUCAUGGAACUAGCAAAAUUAUUCUAGAAUUUUGAGGAUUGUACUCUAGUUAGUACUCUAAAUUAUCUUAUUAUAUUUUGCACAAAUAAAUGAUAUAGAGUGAUAAUAGCAACUCAAUUUUCAUAAAACAUGGAAAGAUGAGUCGCCAAAUUUCUAGAUGCCAUAGAUAAUCUAGACUUUAGUAAGGAAUAUCAAGUUAUUUAUACAAUGAAAAUUGUUAAAUCUCGAUUAAUUGCAAGGAAGCACUUGUAGAGAGAUAUAGAGAGAAUAAACUAUUAGCCUAAAAGGGCUACACAUAUUGUAAUUUUGAUGAUAACAAACAUGUGUCUUAAGUGAUUUGAUAAAUAUUGUAUAUCACAUUUUCAUUAGUUCUUGAAAGAUAAUAUUUAUGAUGAAGUGAAUCACGAAAAAUCAAGCUCAAGACACUCAACGGACAACGGCGUGAUCAAGAAUAAAGUUUAGAGUUCAACGGAAUCAUUAUUGCGACAAUUCUUGUAAAGCCGGUAUGAUUUAAAAUAUGAAUGAUUUAGCAUUUAAAAAGCUCAAGAUUUUGUUUAAUAAAUCAUUAUUUUUUCAUAAAUCAAAAGUUUUACAAGUAUAAGCUAAGUAUUUUAUGAAAUUAGUUAUUUUUCAAGAUGUGGACUAAAAUGAAAAUUUUUUACAAUCUUUGAUUUUAAAAAGUAUUGUUUUGAAUUCCAGAGUUUGACUUAUUUGCAAACAUUUAAAACUUUUUAGGUCAUACUAUAAUUUAUGAACGUUUGAGGACCCGAAGUGAAAAUAUCCAAAAAUUUGAUAAAGAGUUAGCGGCUAAUCGCCUGAGGGCUAGCGGCUAGCUGCCUAAGGAAAAUCUCAUAUUUUCAAAUUUUGGACUAAAUUAAAAGAUUUUGAGAACUUUGAAAUUUAUAAGUAUUAUGUUAAAUUUUGAAAAAAAUUAUUAAACUUUGGACCAUAUCAUAAUUUCAAAAAGUUUUUAGAAUAACAAGUAUUAUUUUAAAAUUCAAAAGUUGGACCUGUUUGUAAAGUGUUAUAACGUUUUGGGCCAUAGUAUAAUUACAUAAAGUUUUGGGCACAAAUGUAACUUUAUUGUUCUGAAGCAACGAGCCGGAUAAAUUAAGUGGCUAGUCACUUGUUUGCUGGAAUUUACCCAUAACGGCUAAUUUUCAAGCUUUAUCUAUAAAAACUCAACUCCAACUUCAAUUUGGAGACUUUUGCAAGCAUAAACAAGUGCAUAAAAUAUAUAUUGAGCUUUUAUUUCGCAAAUCAUCUUAUAUUGAAUCAUCAUUGUGCUAUUAUUUGUAGAUCUACUCUAAAAGAGAGUUUUUUUUGUUGUAUUAUUCAUUUUUCUCAUCAAAUUUGUAAGUGUAUAAGUGUGAGAAACACUUAUGUGAAGAGAUUGAGAGAUAAUCUCUUGGUUGUAAAGGUUUAUUGACAUCUUGAAAGUCAAAUGUAAUGAACUUGAAGCCUUGGGAAACUUGAAUAGUGAAAUCCUUAAGGUUGGUUGGCUUGGAGGCAUGGACGUAGGCGGGGAUUGCGGAACCACGUAAAAAUUAUUGUGUUUGCUCUAUUUUCCCUUACUCUUCUAUUAUUGUACUUUAUUGAAUUUUUUAUUUUUUAUUUGAUUAAGACAAUAGAUUGAAUUGUUGUGCGAAUUGUUUAGCGUAAGUUUUAAAAUCUCAAUUCACCUCCCCCCCCCCUCUUGGAUUGCAUAACUUGCAUUUCAUAAACUUUAAAGAUAAUAAUUAAAUAUACGACAGCUUUAAGGAAGAAAAUAGAAUAGUAUUAAUAGAAUCUAUUUUAACCGGUCUUGAAAUAAUUCAAGACAGAUGCAAAAUAAAUAACAGGACUCUAAACCGUCCAUAAUAAGUCUAUUGAUGAAUAAAAACAAUAAUAGUGAUGUGAAUAUAUUCGGAUUUUAUAGAUUUUUAUGAAUUUGAUAACCAUUUAGAUCUUUAUAAAAUUAUAAUAAAACUUUAAAAAGCUUUAAAAAUAUAUGUAGAAAAGAUGGAAGAAGAAAUCAUCCAUUUAUUCAAAAUCAAUUAAACAAAAAUAAAAGGUAAAAUACUUGAGUUAUAUCAAUUAUACAAUUUCACAAAAAUUUUACAUAGAUUGCAAAAAGGUCCUUGUGGCACUACAGCAGGUUUCAUAAAUUUUUUACAUACAAAUUUUAUGUUUUAAAAUAUGAAUUUUUUUUUGUAUUUAAUACUUUGUUCAACUAUAUGUACAGGUCCUCAACGUGUUGGUUGAUGUUGAAUAUUCAAAGAUCCACAAGCUAUCAAUGACAACGACUCAAAUUAAACUAAUUCGUUAAUACAUAAUAACUGGGUUGUUUCCUAUGCUUGUUAAUGAUGUAGGACGUUGUUUUAGAAUUUUAGAAUUUUAAUUUUUUAGGUCUUCUGAUAUUUUCUUUUUUAAUUAAAGUUAGUGUCUUAGUCUUUUAUUUCUAUUGUAAUUAUGAUUUACUUUCCCUUUUUAAGUUAACUUAUAAAAGUAGAUUUACUCUAUUAUAAAUAAAGAGAUCUUGUUAUCGCUUUUAUAACUUCAACUUCAGUUAUUAAAUUAAAAACCCCUCUUUUAUAAUUUCCUUUGGUAUUAUCUAUUAAAAAUUCCUCUUUUAGAGUUGUUUGAUUAGAGUAUCAUUUAGCCUAUCUUAACACAGUAUUAAAAAUCCCAUUGAGUUUAAUCAUACUUCGAUUUGAGCGUAAUUAAUAGCAUUGAUUUGGUCCAGUACUUGAACGAUAUCUAGUGUUUUGCUUCUGCUACGCCCAAGGAGAAAAUGAAUUUCACCGUGAGAUAAGAGCAUUAAAAGGAAUUCAUAAGAAAUUUAAAUUAAAUUAGCUACGAAGUGAAAAUAAAUAAAUAAAUAAAUGAAUAUGAAGUUGAAAAUAAGUCUCGCCGCCUGGAUCCAAGGCCAAAACAUUCAUGAUAAGUUAGGUAAUUAAGUACAUGUUUUCAAGCUCUUCAUGAAGAAUAAUGUUAUUGAAAUAAAUCACAAAGACUCCCUGCGCAAAUUAUUACAUUGAUUAAAAAAAAAAUGCCAUAUCUUUAACAGGAUCGUGGCUCUCGGACUGUUAAUUACUUUAUUCCCUGCUUGGCCAACAGCUGGCCACUAAACAAAAUCAUAAAAAUUUUAAAUUUAGUCAAAUUGGUCCCACUUGAUGUCAUCCUUUUCAUACAUAAAAUUGUUUAACGUCAAGGUUAAAUAUGAGAAGUUUGGUAGAGACGGUAAAAAGGAAGUCUAUAUAAGGAGGGGAACGAGCUUUGUUUAUAGCACAAGUGAAACUCCACUUUAUUGAACGAUAGGGUCUCAAAUGGGCUGCCUCUUUGCCACUCUUUUGGUAGUAUCAGUCUCUCUUAGCUACUUGCCGUUAGAAGCCUCCGCAAACAAAUACUACUACACAUCUCCUCCCCCUCCCAAGUACAAGUCUCCACCCCCCCCGCCACCGGUUCACAAUUCUCCACCACCACCCCCGGUUUACAUGCCCCCGCCACCUCCUCCACCAGUCUACGUGCCUGCUCCGGCACCAACUCCAAUUUCCUAUUCCCCGCCACCUCCUGUCCCCAAGUCCCCACCACCACCUCACCCUUACGUCUAUGCAUCUCCCCCUCCUCCUUACUACUACUAGAAAGCGGCCAUGAAUAGCUCAUGCUUUUAUGGUAAUCUCAUUUAUUUUUAAAACUGUACAUGUAAAGACUAGUAGUUCAGAAUUAAAUUAAGCAUUUCAAUUUUAAGCACCGUGUUCUGUUUAAUUGCGUUCCUAUUGAUUAAGUGACAAAUAAAAGAGAUUGAUUAAUUUGUUCUUGUAGGAGAGGCGAAUGGUAUCCGAAUAAAGAAAGCAAGGGUUUGAUGGAAAGCUUACUUGGAGCAAGAUAGCGAUCAAUCGAGUUGCUGCGUUUUAUUCUCUUUUAUCUUUGUUUUUUAAGAAAAAUAAACUGCCACACGUGGAAACAGAAAAGUUCUUGUCAUUUUCAUGCAUAUGGAUUGUUGCUAUGUGUGUCAAUCAAAUCUCUGGUGUGUCAUUUGUAAUUUUCAACCUUUAUGCAUGCGAAUGCGAGACCUCUUUCGUAUAAUAAAAUUAAUAUACUUCCCAAGACGGUCUUAUCUUGCGUUGACUUUUUACGUUCUUUGGUGAUGAUUUUGACGUUUGAAAUUGAUGACUAUUGUUUUUGUAAACUCUGCAUGGAUUUUUCGUGCAACUACAAAGCGCAUUAACG